AAAAGGUACGCCGGGGAUAACAGGCUGAUACUGCCCAAGAGUCCAUAUCGACGGCAGUGUUUGGCACCUCGAUGUCGGCUCAUCUCAUCCUGGGGCUGGAGCAGGUCCCAAGGGUACGGCUGUUCGCCGUUUAAAGAGGUACGUGAGCUGGGUUUAGAACGUCGUGAGACAGUUCGGUCCCUAUCUGCCGUGGGUGUAGGAUACUUGAGAGGAGUUGCCCCUAGUACGAGAGGACCGGGGUGAACGAUCCACUGGUGGAUCUGUUGUGGCGCCAGCCGCAGUGCAGAGUAGCUAUGAUCGGACAGGAUAACCGCUGAAGGCAUCUAAGCGGGAAGCCCCCCUCAAAACAAGGUAUCCCUGAGGGCCGUGGUAGACCACCACGUCGA
RNAcentral lists this ribosomal RNA (386 nucleotides) under Rhodosorus marinus. RNAcentral's name for it is "partial Bacterial large subunit ribosomal RNA". It matches the Rfam family "Bacterial large subunit ribosomal RNA", at positions 2458 to 2856 of the family's 2925-position model. Lineage: Eukaryota; Rhodophyta; Stylonematophyceae; Stylonematales; Stylonemataceae. The record is from RNAcentral.